GAUGAACGCUGGCGGCGUGCUUAACACAUGCAAGUCGAGCGAAGCGCUUUGGUUAGAUUCUUCGGAUGAAGACCUUUGUGACUGAGCGGCGGACGGGUGAGUAACGCGUGGGUAACCUGCCUCAUACAGGGGGAUAACAGUUAGAAAUGACUGCUAAUACCGCAUAAGACCACAGUACCGCAUGGUACAGGGGUAAAAACUCCGGUGGUAUGAGAUGGACCCGCGUCUGAUUAGCUGGUUGGUGGGGUAACGGCCUACCAAGGCGACGAUCAGUAGCCGGCCUGAGAGGGCGACCGG
RNAcentral lists this ribosomal RNA (297 nucleotides) under uncultured bacterium. Its description in RNAcentral is "partial 16S ribosomal RNA". It matches the Rfam family "Bacterial small subunit ribosomal RNA", at positions 28 to 307 of the family's 1533-position model. The record is from RNAcentral.